RNAcentral lists this ribosomal RNA (460 nucleotides) under uncultured bacterium. RNAcentral's name for it is "partial 16S ribosomal RNA". It matches the Rfam family "Bacterial small subunit ribosomal RNA", at positions 338 to 795 of the family's 1533-position model. The record is from RNAcentral.
CCUACGGGAGGCAGCAGUGAGGAAUAUUGGUCAAUGGACGAGAGUCUGAACCAGCCAAGUAGCGUGAAGGAUGACUGCCCUAUGGGUUGUAAACUUCUUUUAUAAAGGAAUAAAACGAGGCACGUGUGCCUUUUUGCAUGUACCUUAUGAAUAAGGAUCGGCUAACUCCGUGCCAGCAGCCGCGGUAAUACGGAGGAUCCGAGCGUUAUCCGGAUUUAUUGGGUUUAAAGGGAGCGUAGGUGGGUUGUUAAGUCAGUUGUGAAAGUUUGCGGCUCAACCGUAAAAUUGCAAUUGAUACUGGCAGUCUUGAGUGCAGUUGAGGUAGGCGGAAUUCGUGGUGUAGCGGUGAAAUGCUUAGAUAUCACGAAGAACCCCGAUUGCGAAGGCAGCUUACUAAACUGUGACUGACAUUGAUGCUCGAAAGUGUGGGUAUCGAACAGGAUUAGAUACCCUGGUAGUC